Molecule: ribosomal RNA, 412 nt
Filed under: Erwinia sp.
Lineage: Bacteria; Pseudomonadati; Pseudomonadota; Gammaproteobacteria; Enterobacterales; Erwiniaceae
Description: bacterial SSU rRNA
Rfam family: Bacterial small subunit ribosomal RNA
Source: RNAcentral
GCGCACGCAGGCGGUCUGUCAAGUCAGAUGUGAAAUCCCCGGGCUUAACCUGGGAACUGCAUUUGAAACUGGCAGACUAGAGUCUUGUAGAGGGGGGUAGAAUUCCAGGUGUAGCGGUGAAAUGCGUAGAGAUCUGGAGGAAUACCGGUGGCGAAGGCGGCCCCCUGGACAAAGACUGACGCUCAGGUGCGAAAGCGUGGGGAGCAAACAGGAUUAGAUACCCUGGUAGUCCACGCCGUAAACGAUGUCGACUUGGAGGUUGUGCCCUUGAGGCGUGGCUUCCGGAGCUAACGCGUUAAGUCGACCGCCUGGGGAGUACGGCCGCAAGGUUAAAACUCAAAUGAAUUGACGGGGGCCCGCACAAGCGGUGGAGCAUGUGGUUUAAUUCGAUGCAACGCGAAGAACCUUACCU